UGUGAUGUAGCCUUCAGAAUAGGGGAGAAAAUAAUUCCUGCCCAUAAGAUCGUGUUGGCUUCUUCUGACACUCCCUGCACUUUUAUAAUUUUAGAGGUAACUGCUUCUUGAUGAAAUGCCUCGAUCCUUUUCGAAUAAACUUGUGAAAAGGGGGCUUCAUGAGGCUCCUUUUGAGAUUUUUAAAGUGUUUAAUUAAAGAGUCCUGUGCCAGGAUCAUGCAAGUGUGUCCUUGUCUAAUUCAAAAAAAGGAUCUUGUUUCUUUUACAUGAAGAAAGUUCUUCCCAAUCACAUUCAACAUGUCUGUGCAAUAAUCCACUUUCUCGAUGCUUCUUACAGUCAAAAGCAUUUUAAGCAAUUCUUCGUAACUUACUCCAUUUAUAUGAUCCAGGCACAGCUUUUUAAGAUCAUGAACUUUAAAGACGUGCAAGUUUGAGGAGAUCAGAAAUGAUGGUUGCCUCAAUCUUAAUUGCUCCUCAGUAGAAGAACUCAAGGAAUACCAUUAAGGAUUUUUCCAAUUCAAACUUUGUGUUCAAAGAGUCCUGUGCCAGGAUCAUGGAGAGUGUAUCCUUGUCCAAUUCAAAAAAGGAUCUUGUUUCUUUUACAUCAGGAGAAUGUUCUUCCUAAUCACAUUUAACAUGUCUCUGCAAUAAUCCACUUCCUCGAUGCUUUUAACCAUUGAAGGAUUGUAAGCAAUUCUUCAUAACUUACUUCAUUUAUACGAUCCAGGCAAAGCUAUUUUAUAUCGUGAACUUUAAAGAUGCGUGCAGAGUCUGAAUGUAGGAUGUUUUUACCUCUGUUAUUUCUUGGAUACAUCACCACGACUAUGAAAUUAGAAUACAUUAAUUAGAAGAUUCCAUCCGACUGAUGUCUCCAAAGGAGCUUUUCAUCAGAUGAGAUGCUUUAAGAUCUUUAAACCUUUGCCUAAUCACCAGAAAGUUGUGGAUAUGAUCACUAUGGCCAACUGGAUUCAGACCUCAUUCCUCCCAUAAAGAUGACACAUUAGAGGACCUGCUACCCUGGGAAAGGAAUGAAAAAGCAGAAGAAGUGUCAGAAGCUACAUAAAAAAUUAUCAUGAUGUUUUUUCCUGGAUGGUGACUGUAGGCUCUUUUUCCACAUGUGAAACCCACAUGUAUUUUCGGGAUUUGACUUGAAGUGCAGAUGGGAGUGUCAGACUGUAUGAUUGGGGUCACUUGCAGACACUGACAAUGCUUUGACAAACAGGGGCCCCUUCUCCAAAGUCACAAAGGUUUUGUUUAGUUUCCAAGGAAACAAGUGCUGUGUGAGUGACACUGAGGGAGCCAUAUAGGUCAAUGGCAAGUCUGUCUCCAGUCAGCAACUUCACCAAACCCAUCCUGAGUUUACAUUGCCACAAUAAGACCACCAGUGAUUUAAGCUUUAAUUGGAUCCUCCAGUCUCAUAGCUACAGCAGGCCACUCCGUCGUCAGAGAGCAGAAAUGUCUGUUGAUGCCACACACUG
Molecule: long non-coding RNA, 1477 nt
Organism: Saccostrea cuccullata (small rock oyster)
Lineage: Eukaryota; Metazoa; Mollusca; Bivalvia; Ostreida; Ostreidae
Exons: 6
Source: RefSeq, a predicted model, not a curated record